This 189-nucleotide unclassified non-coding RNA is filed under the name uncultured fungus. RNAcentral's name for it is "sequence contains ITS1". The record is from RNAcentral. Lineage: Eukaryota; Fungi.
UUAACUAUUAAAUAGUACUCAGACGACACUGUAUUUCAGAGUUUAGGGUCCUCUAGCAGGCACGGUCAGCGUGAGCCAACGCCCGAAGGCGGCCUGCUAAAGCAACAAUAUAAUAUACACAAGGGUGGGGUUUCUACCCGUGAGGGCAGGAACUCUGUAAUGAUCCUUCCGCAGGUUCACCUACGGAAA